AUUGAACGCUGGCGGCAUGCCUUACACAUGCAAGUCGAACGGUAACGCGGGGCAACCUGGCGACGAGUGGCGAACGGGUGAGUAAUGCAUCGGAACGUGCCCAGUAGUGGGGGAUAGCCCGGCGAAAGCCGGAUUAAUACCGCAUACGACCUACGGGUGAAAGGGGGGGAUCGCAAGACCUCUCGCUAUUGGAGCGGCCGAUGUCAGAUUAGGUAGUUGGUGGGGUAAAGGCGUACCAAGCCGACGAGCUGUAGCUGGUCUGAGAGGACGACCAGCGACACUGGGACUGAGACACGGACCAGACUCCUACGGGAGGCAGCAGUGGGGAAUUUUGUACAAUGUACGAAAGUCUGAUCCAGCCAUGCCGCGUGCAGGAAGAAGGCCUUCGGGUUGUAAACUGCUUUUGUCAGGGAAGAAAUCUUCUGGGCUAAUACCCCGGGAGGAUGACGGUACCUGAAGAAUAAGCACCGGCUAACUACGUGCCAGCAGCCGCCGUAA
RNAcentral lists this ribosomal RNA (498 nucleotides) under uncultured bacterium. Its description in RNAcentral is "partial 16S ribosomal RNA". It matches the Rfam family "Bacterial small subunit ribosomal RNA", at positions 29 to 523 of the family's 1533-position model. The record is from RNAcentral.